RNAcentral lists this ribosomal RNA (315 nucleotides) under uncultured eukaryote. Its description in RNAcentral is "partial 18S ribosomal RNA". It matches the Rfam family "Eukaryotic small subunit ribosomal RNA", at positions 1470 to 1796 of the family's 1831-position model. The record is from RNAcentral.
CCCUUAGAUGUUCUGGGCUGCACGCGCGCUACACUGACGCACGCAACAGGUGCCUGCUCCGAGAGGACUGGGUAAUCAUUUGAGUGUGCGUCGUGAUGGGGAUAGAAUAUUGUAAUUAUUACUCUUCAACGAGGAAUUCCUAGUAAGCGCCAGUCAGCAGCUUGCGCUGAUUACGUCCCUGCCCUUUGUACACACCGCCCGUCGCUCCUACCGACGGGUGAUCCGGUGAAUGAUUCGGACUUCAGCGGCUCCCCUGGGGUGCGCCGGAGAAAGUUUUGUGAACCUUAUCACUUGGAGGAAGGAGAAGUCGUAACA